RNAcentral lists this ribosomal RNA (495 nucleotides) under uncultured bacterium. RNAcentral describes it as "partial 16S ribosomal RNA". It matches the Rfam family "Bacterial small subunit ribosomal RNA", at positions 28 to 507 of the family's 1533-position model. The record is from RNAcentral.
GACGAACGCUGGCGGCGUGCCUAAUACAUGCAAGUAGAACGCUGAAGCAGGAGCUUGCUUCUCUGGAUGAGUUGCGAACGGGUGAGUAACGCGUAGGUAACCUGCCUGGUAGCGGGGGAGAACUAUUGGAAACGAUAGCUAAUACCGCAUAAGAGUAGAUGUUGCAUGACAUUUGCUUAAAAGUUGCAAUUGCAUCACUACCAGAUGCACCUGCCUUGUAUUAGCUAGUUGGUGAGGUAACGGCUCACCAAGGCAACGAUACAUAGCCGACCUGAGAGGGUGGUCGGCCACCCUGGGACUGAGACACGGCCCAGACUCCUACGGGAGGCAGCAGUAGGGAAUCUUCGGCAAUGGGCGGAAGUCUGACCGAGCAACGCCGCGGGAGUGAAGAAGGGUUUCGGAUCGUAAAGCUCUGUUGUAAGGGAAGAAAGAGUGUGAGAGUGGAAAGUUCACACUGUGACGGUACCUUACGAGAAAGGGACGGCUAACUACGUG